GGGAAGCCAGUGCCACCACCCAUCAGUGCUAGUGUCGGAGUGUUGUGGAGUGCCUCAUCAUUAUUUUCGUUUUACAAGCCUACUGACACAGGAUUUCAUCAAUAUCAACUAUACCAGAAGUAAUGGUGUCGGUGUCGACCUGGGGCACUGCUGAAGUUAGUGACUGGCUAACAAGAAUAGGACUACACAACUAUGUUCAAGUUUUUAUAGUCUUUCAGUGCUGGAUACCCAACCUAAAGGUGGAAGAACGUCACAGCCAACUCAUGACGCAGUGGAAGCAAGAGCAAGUACUCCAGUGAGCAGUAUAUGUGGAGAGCCAUCGUUAUCAUCUCUAACAGACACUUUACUGUCUGAUGAGGAGG
Eriocheir sinensis (Chinese mitten crab) is the source of this 362-nucleotide long non-coding RNA. RefSeq lists it as uncharacterized. NCBI's taxonomy places the organism in Eukaryota, Metazoa, Arthropoda, Malacostraca, Decapoda, Varunidae. The record is from RefSeq and is a predicted model, not a curated record. The transcript has 3 exons.